GGCUUUCUUUCUCAGCAUUAUUGGUUCAGAUCCUCCAAUCACAAAUUAUCCUGUAGGAGUUGAGGUCCCAAAGAACAUUCAUGGCGAUAAAGAAGAGACUACUGCGCCAGCAUAGCACCCUCUGUCUGGCUUCUUUACAACGGCUAUUAACGUUGCUUGUUGGAGUUUCCUGUUAUAUGAUCAGUACUAUAAGAAACUCGUAACAUCUAUUCCUUUUCCUCCAUUCAUGUAAACAGAUCAGCUUAGUGGAUAGAUUAGCUCUCAUCAUCUACUUACAUAAUGUCUAACUCUAAACGGUGGAGUUCAAUCAAGAUCAUUUUAGAUGUUACAUCAGCUCUAUUUACCCAUAUGAACAAAUAUUACAUCCUGAAUACUACUAUCAGCAUAUCGAAGUAUCACUGUUACAAAGUGUUUCUCUCCCUUCCCGCCAGAGGAAGGUAAAGCAGUAACCUCCAUGAAUGUAAAGGCAAAUCUGUUGGCUGGCAGGGACUGAGAGCUGGCUUCUCUCUAGUUAGCAGAAUCAUUUGGCAGGAACUUGUUGAGACAUGAAACCACCCUGGUAUUUUUAUUUUGCAACAGACAAACAUCAGGAUUUUGGUUCAAUCAGCUUUCUGUUCCAAAUUAGUCACUAGAGCAUGUUACUUUACCUUUCAUUCUCAAUGGCCAGAGAACGAAGUUCACAAUUCUUGAAUCUGGAAAUGCAA
Molecule: long non-coding RNA, 704 nt
Filed under: Linum usitatissimum (flax)
Lineage: Eukaryota; Viridiplantae; Streptophyta; Magnoliopsida; Malpighiales; Linaceae
Description: long non-coding RNA (LUSI_LNC002302)
Source: RNAcentral